GGUUGUGGCUCAGCGGUAAAGCACUUGCCUAGCAUGGGUGAGACCCUGGGUGCGAUCCUCAGCACCA
RNAcentral lists this transfer RNA (67 nucleotides) under Marmota monax (woodchuck). RNAcentral describes it as "tRNA.Ala". The record is from RNAcentral. Lineage: Eukaryota; Metazoa; Chordata; Mammalia; Rodentia; Sciuridae.